GAUCCUGGCUCAGGAUGAGCGCUGGCGGCGCGCCUAACACAUGCAAGUCGAACGGCACCCAUCUUCGGAUGGAAGCGAGUGGCGAACGGCUGAGUAACACGUGGAGAACCUGCCCCCUCCCCCGGGAUAGCCGUCCGAAAGGACGGGUAAUACCGGAUACCCCGGGGUGCCGCAUGGCACCCCGGCUAAAGCCCCGACGGGAGGGGAUGGCUCCGCGGCCCAUCAGGUAGGCGGCGGGGUGACGGCCCUCCGUGCCGACAACGGGUAGCCGGGUUGAGAGACCGACCGGCCAGAUUGGGACUGAGACACGGCCCAGACUCCUACGGGAGGCAGCAGUGGGGAAUCUUGCGCAAUGGGGGGAACCCUGACGCAGCGACGCCGCGUGCGGGACGGAGGCCUUCGGGUCGUAAACCGCUUUCAGCAGGGAAGAGUCAAGACUGUACCUGCAGAAGAAGCCCCGGCUAACUACGUGCCAGCAGCCGCGGUAAUACGUAGGGGGCGAGCGUUAUCCGGAUUCAUUGGGCGUAAAGCGCGCGUAGGCGGCCCGGCAGGCCGGGGGUCGAAGCGGGGGGCUCAACCCCCCGAAGCCCCCGGAACCUCCGCGGCUUGGGUCCGGUAGGGGAGGGUGGAACACCCGGUGUAGCGGUGGAAUGCGCAGAUAUCGGGUGGAACACCGGUGGCGAAGGCGGCCCUCUGGGCCGAGACCGACGCUGAGGCGCGAAAGCUGGGGGAGCGAACAGGAUUAGAUACCCUGGUAGUCCCAGCCGUAAACGAUGGACGCUAGGUGUGGGGGGACGAUCCCCCCGUGCCGCAGCCAACGCAUUAAGCGUCCCGCCUGGGGAGUACGGCCGCAAGGCUAAAACUCAAAGGAAUUGACGG
Molecule: ribosomal RNA, 879 nt
Filed under: uncultured bacterium
Lineage: Bacteria
Description: bacterial SSU rRNA
Rfam family: Bacterial small subunit ribosomal RNA
Source: RNAcentral